Molecule: ribosomal RNA, 498 nt
Filed under: uncultured Pseudomonadota bacterium
Lineage: Bacteria; Pseudomonadati; Pseudomonadota
Description: bacterial SSU rRNA
Rfam family: Bacterial small subunit ribosomal RNA
Source: RNAcentral
ACCUGAUCCAGCAAUGCCGCGAGAGUGAUGAAGGCCUUCGGGUUGUAAAGCUCUUUCGCACGCGACGAUGAUGACGGUAGCGUGAGAAGAAGCCCCGACUAACUUCGUGCCAGCAGCCGCGGUAAUACGAAGGGGGCUAGCGUUGUUCGGAAUUACUGGGCGUAAAGGGCGCGUAGGCGGUCCCUCAAGUCAGGCGUGAAAGCCCCGGGCUCAACCUGGGAACCGCGCUUGAGACUGAUGGGCUAGAGUUCGGGAGAGGAUGGUGGAAUUCCCAGUGUAGAGGUGAAAUUCGUAGAUAUUGGGAAGAACACCGAUGGCGAAGGCAGCCAUCUGGACCGACACUGACGCUGAGGCGCGAAAGCGUGGGGAGCAAACAGGAUUAGAUACCCUGGUAGUCCACGCCGUAAACGAUGAGUGCUAGACGUCGGGGCUCUUGGAGCUUCGGUGUCGCAGCUAACGCAUUAAGCACUCCGCUUGGGGAGUACGGCCGCAAGGUUA